This 4980-nucleotide long non-coding RNA is filed under the name Trifolium pratense (red clover). Its description in RNAcentral is "long non-coding RNA (TPRA_LNC001881)". Lineage: Eukaryota; Viridiplantae; Streptophyta; Magnoliopsida; Fabales; Fabaceae. The record is from RNAcentral.
GCUAGCACAAAAUGUUUUCAUAUAUCUCUUAAAGGUGAAUAAGUGGAGUGCCGGUGGUUAGGUUUGAACCCCGGCUUCUGCAUAAUAUAUGUCAUGUCCCUAUCAAAUGAUGCUAACAUUGAUGACAGGGAGAAAGAUGGUAGCUGGAAGUAAUAUUGGCGGAAUGAAAGAGACUCAAGAGAUGAUUGAUUUUGCUGCUAAACAUGAUGUAAAACCUAGCAUUGAAGUCAUUCCUAUGGAUUAUGUUAAUAUUGCAGUGGAGCGACUCCUCAAAGCAGAUGUCAAAUAUCGAUUUGUGAUUGACAUUGGAAACACUCUCAAACCAAGCUCUCAACUCUAGUGUCUAAAGUUGGGGAACUUUCAAAACAAAUUGAGCUUCAUAAAUUAUGGAUAUUCCCUAUGUUAUUAUCUACUCGUAAUAAAGUUAGGACCUGUGUUUCCGGGACACUGUUUAAUGGUAUUUUUCAUUUUUUUUCUACUAUGUUGGUCUAUUUUGAAUGCUAUGCUUUGGUAAAUUAACCUUUUUUUUUUGUAAUGCUUACAAAUUAAUACAACUAAAAAAAAUGUCAACUACCAAAAGCUCUCGGAAGUGUCGCGGUGAUUUUCGGAGAUCAAAGAUAUUGAUUAAUUUUGACUCGCAAAAUAAGAAGUCAUCACUGAACUUUAAUUUUUUCAAGGGAAGGAGGAAAAGAUCGAAUAAAACCCACAAAUAAACAUGCAAAACUAAAGAAGCAAUAAAAACAAGCAAUGCAACAAGAGAUCAAGGUACGGGGGUUGAUUAUGCAAAGGGAAGAUAUUAACACCCUAAGCUAAUAUAGUAUUUCAUCCGGCCUUAUUUAUAAGCAAAAGUCAACAAAAACUUUUGGCCUUAAAUAUAAGCAAAAGUUACCAAAAUCAAGUUUAUUUAAUGCUAUUCUUCCAAAAGUAUUUUUAUUAAUUGUUCUACUUUUAAAAAUGAUUGUAAAUUUUCAAUGCAAAUUUAAGGUCAUUUCAGAAAUUGUAAUAGAAAUUUUACAUCAAGACAAAAAAAUAACUUCUUAAUUAGUGUGCAAAUGAGCAUAUUUGCUUAUAAAAGAAGCCGGAUGGAGUACUCUAUAGGAACCUUUUUUGUAAUACAUAUAUUUUUGGGUAAAGUUGUUUGCUUGUAAAUGAUUGGGGAGAUGAGAAAAGAAAUAUCUUUUUGUUAAUUUUUUAUUUGGAAAGACAUGAAAUUCUUAUGCCUACGUACCAAUGAAGGAUCAAAACCUGAUAGUUCGGGUUAAAAAUAACAAAAGUGGUUUGUUUGAUUGUUUUUUAGGAGAAGAGAAGAGUUGUCAUCUUAAGUAAGACUCUUUUAAUCCACCACAUACAUGAUGAUGGAUCUUUGCUUCACAGUAGGAAAGAGCUCCAACUUGAAUAUAAAAUCAAGAAGUAUGCCACUAACUCUCCUAGGUGAAAAAAAAUCAAUAUCUUUCGAUCAAAUGUUAUGGUGAAUUUGAAUUUUCAACCAUAGAUACUCAUGUCUAAACUCUUUGAGAAAAGAGUUUUAAAGUUAAAAGCCAACUGGGAAAAAAGUUUGAGUGAGUCUUAUAUUUUUUUUUAGCUUUUUGAAAAUGUUUAGAUAUGCUUAAGUAUGUUAAAUCAUUUAUUGAAGAAAAAAAAGAGUUGAAAAUCUGUUGACGAAAGUAAAAUAGACUUAAAGAGUUUUAGCCCAAAGCAAACAAACAGCCCAAUAAAUAAAUGAGUUAAUGAAAACAAGGCUUUGUCUAACAUGAACAAGUCUUCCAAGUUGUGCAUGGUGCACAAGUAGCGAUUUAUAUUAUAACAAAUACGAAUUUUACAAAAUUUACCAUUGAAUUGAAAGUUUAUAUCAUAUAGAUCAUCUAUAAACUAUUUGAUAUAUAUAAACUAUCAAUCCAACGAUGAAUUUUGUAAAAUUCGUAUUCGUUAUAAUAUAAAUCGCUACUUGUGCACCAUGCACAACUUGAAGGACUUGUUCAGGUUAGAAUUGGCCUUUGGCUAACAUGCACGAGUGCACCAUAUGGUGCACGGUGCACAAGUUAGCGAUUUCAUUAUAACGAAUACGAAUUUUACAAAAUCUACCGUUUGAUUGAAAAUUUAUAUCAUAUAGAUCGUCCAUAAUUUUUUUUUUUGGAAAAAUUGAAAAUCAUUUGAUAUGUUAUUGAAACCGGUCAAAUUUAACGGUUUAUAAAUUUCUAUUAAAUACCGUUAAUCUUUAUGAGUCUCAAUAAGAUAUCAAAUGAUUUUUAAUUUUUUUAUUAAUGAUCUAUAUGACAUAAACUUUUAAUCGAACGGUGAAUUUUGUAAAAUUCGUAUUCGUUAUAAUAAAAUCGCUAACUUGUGCACCAUGCACCGUGCACCGUAUGGUGCACUUGUGCAUGUUAGAACUUGCCUAUAUUUAACCUUAAUUUUAAUCGUGUCUUCUAAUCAAUAAUAUAUGUAUACUACUCCAAAAAUAUUAUAUUCCACUUGAAUUUAAUUUAUAUGUACCGUCAGUGUAAAGUUAUUUUACAUAUGCAUCCAAUAAUAUACUGACACAUCAUGUAUGAUAAUUAAAAACACAUGAUGUGUCACAUUCAUUAAAUAAUGUGGCAACUCAUCAUUGGAUGUAUUUACACCGACAGUGCACAACAAUUAAACUCUAUUUCACUUUGUAAUAACAUAAUAGUUUUUUUUUUUUUUUCGCCAAUUAGUCGAGUAACUAGACNNNNNNNNNNNNNNNNNNNNNNNNNNNNNNNNUACCCACUCUAAAAAAUAAACUACCCACUAUCAAUUAUGUAAUUUUAUAUUUAAUAACCACUUUAAAAGCUAAUUUUACCAAACACUUUAAUUUUAAUAAGCUAGCUUUUCAGCUAUCAGCUAUAAGCUAGUUUUUCAGCUAUCAGCUAGCUUAUCAGCUAUCAGCUAACUUAUAGCUUAUUUUUACCAAACAGACCCUAAGUGUGGUAGCAAAGAAUUCAGAUUUUGAAUACCAGACUUUUAAAUAAUUUCUUCAGCUAACAAUUGAGUUACAUUUUUUUUUUUGUUUUGACAAAAACAUAAUAGUUAUUAUUAGUUAAUAUAAAAGUGUGUAUAUCUUUCAUUGCAAAAAAAAAAAAAAGUAUGUAUAUCUUUUAAGUAUGUAAAAACUUUAAAUGAUAGUACAUCUUUAAAACCGAUGAAGUAUUUUGACAUUCAUUCUUUGUUAUUGCAUUUUUCCUAGUUCAAAUUAGAUUUUAUAAAACUAAACUAUUUUCUUUACCUUAUACGUUGGAACGAUCAUGUUGGUGUAAUUGAAUAUUUGAACAUGUUGAGAGUGAAAUUGUUGUUAGCUAAAUAAUUCACAUUUGGUUUGUUCGAAAUUUUCAGAGAAACAAACGAAAAAGACGUGGCAUUCAAAAUAUUGUAUUGUGGGAUAUGUCACUCAGAUCUUCACCUGAUGAAAAACGAAUGGGGCAUGUCCAACUAUCCGCUAGUACCUGGGUAUGCUUUAAUUCAAAUUACUACUCACCAAUAUCACAGGCUAUGUCUAUUAAUUUAAAUAUAACUUAUAAAAGAAAUACAGGCAUGAAAUUGUCGGAAUAGUGACAAAGGUGGGAAGCAAAGUAGAAAAGUUCAAAGUUGGAGACAAAGUAGGUGUUGGCUACAUAAUUGACUCAUGCCGAUCUUGUCAAAAUUGCACUGAAAAUCUUGAAAGUUAUUGUCCCCAACAUAUACCCACAUGUGGUGCCAAGUAUCGUGAUGGCAUCACAUAUGGAGGUUACUCUGACUCAAUCGUUGUAGACGAGCACUUUAUAGUUCAUAUUCCUGAUGGUUUACCACUUGAAGUUGUUGCUGUUGGCGCAGUAGAAGCAAGAGUUUGCUUGGUUCAGAGGAUGCAACAUUCAGAGGUUGUGUUGCCUCUGACUCUGAAGUGGUUCAGAGGAUGGAUUGCAGGCAAGCUCAGCAGGCACGCAUGCUUGACCUUGGGCAAACUAGCAGUUUUGCAGAAACUGCUAUAUACAAGAUGAACAAGUUUCUUGAUGAAAUUGAUUAACAACUGAGCAUGAAAGACUUAGGGAAAUAGAGAUUUUAUUCUUCCUUAAUGGNNNNNNNNNNNNNNNNNNNNNNNNNNNNNNNNNNNNNNNNNNNNNNNNNNNNNNNNNNNNNNNNNNNNNNNNNNNNNNNNNNNNCUUCGAUAUCUUAGGCUCGACAAGCCCGGUCUACAUAUAGGUGUUGUUGGUCUUGGUGGACUUGGUCACAUGGCUGUUAAGUUUGCCAAAGCUUUUGGUGCUAAUGUGACUGUAAUUAGUACAUCACCUAACAAAGAAAAGGAAGCAAUAGAACAUUUAGGAGCUGACUCAUUUUUAAUAAGCCAAGACCAAGCUAAGAUGCAGGUACAAAUACAAUAGUUUCAGCUGAUCAAUAUAUUCAUAUUCAAUAUUUUAAUAUUCUUAAAUUCGAAAUGGUAAUAUAGGCUACAAUGGGUACUUUGGAUGGUAUCAUUGAUACAGUUUCAGCUGAUCAUCCUCUCUUACCUCUUAUUGGAUUGUUGAAAUCUCAUGGAAAACUUGUAAUGGUUGGUGCUCCAAUGAAGCCUAUGGAGCUCCAUGUCUUUCCUUUACUUUUGGGUAAGCUAGAAGCAAUACCAAACUGAAUAAAACUUAAAAUUUAUAGCUUAUCAUUUUUCUGUCAUUUCAAACAUAUUAUUUAUAAACUAUAGUUCAACCGGUAAUUUUAUUAAAUACUGCAAAUUUAAUCUAUUAGUUUAGUCAAUAUAAGCUAGCUAUGAGCUAUAUAAACAUUUUUAUAAUGCUAACAUUCAUGACAGGGAGAAAGAUGAUAGUUGGAAGUUUUAUUGGAGGAAUGAAAGGAACUUCAAGAUAUGAUUGAUUUUGCUGCUAAACACAAUGUAAAACCUACCAUUGAAGUCAUUCCUAUGGAUUAUGUUAACAUUGCAAUGGAGCGACUCCUCAAAGCAGAUGUCAAAUAUCGAUUUGUGAUCGACAUUGGGAACACUCU